GAAUCUUCCGCAAUGGGCGAAAGCCUGACGGAGCGACGCCGCGUGUGGGAUGAAGCGUCUACGACGUGUAAACCACUGUCAGAGGACAGAAACACUGAUUGUCCUCAGAGGAAGGGGCGACUAACUCUGUGCCAGCAGUCGCGGUAAGACAGAGGCCCCGAGCGCUAAUCGGAAUUACUGGGCUUAAAGGGUGCGUAGGCGGAUCCGCAAGCGUCUUGUGAAAGCCCCCGGCUCAACCGAGGAACAGCGGGGCGAACUGCGGGUCUUGAGGCAGGUAAGGGUCGCCGGAACAGUAGGUGGAGCGGUGAAUGCGUAGAUAUCUACUGGAACGCCGAUGGUGAAGACGGGCGACUGGGCCUGUCCUGACGCUGAGGCACGAAAGCGUGGGGAGCAAAC
Molecule: ribosomal RNA, 396 nt
Filed under: uncultured bacterium
Lineage: Bacteria
Description: bacterial SSU rRNA
Rfam family: Bacterial small subunit ribosomal RNA
Source: RNAcentral